UGUACAAUAUGAUAAAUAUGCAACUCUUAAAGAGUUCAUGGAGAAAUCAAUGGCCACUUCCUUUAAGGAGUUUCGAUAUGAGCUGCACACACAUUACAAGAAGUUUCUAGACCAACCAAUGGCUCAUAGGAAAGCUAAUAAGUCUAAAGAAAUCUGAUAUCAGGUUGAUUGGGAUUAUUUAUGUGACUAUUGGGAAAGUGAGCAGUUU
RNAcentral lists this long non-coding RNA (208 nucleotides) under Olea europaea (common olive). RNAcentral's name for it is "long non-coding RNA (OEUR_LNC014211)". The record is from RNAcentral. Lineage: Eukaryota; Viridiplantae; Streptophyta; Magnoliopsida; Lamiales; Oleaceae.